Molecule: unclassified non-coding RNA, 337 nt
Filed under: soil metagenome
Description: partial contains 5.8S ribosomal RNA, internal transcribed spacer 2, and large subunit ribosomal RNA
Rfam family: 5.8S ribosomal RNA (bases 1-120)
Source: RNAcentral
GAUGAAGAACGUAGCGAAAUGCGAUAAGUAAUGUGAAUUGCAGAAUUCCGUGAAUCAUCGAAUCUUUGAACGCACAUUGCGCCCCCUGGUAUUCCGGGGGGCAUGCCUGUCCGAGCGUCAUUGCAACCCUCAAGCGCGGCUUGUGUGUUGGGCUUCGUCCCCCCGUGGACGUGCCCGAAAGGCAGUGGCGGCGUCCCGAAUGGUGCCCGAGCGUAUGGGAACUCUCUUCCGCUCGAACCGGCCCAUUCGGCGCUGGUCGAACCCCAAUUUUUUUUUACCGGUUGACCUCGGAUCAGGUAGGGAUACCCGCUGAACUUAAGCAUAUCAAUAAGCGGGA